RNAcentral lists this ribosomal RNA (514 nucleotides) under Fomitopsis serialis. RNAcentral describes it as "SSU rRNA". It matches the Rfam family "Bacterial small subunit ribosomal RNA", at positions 433 to 939 of the family's 1533-position model. Lineage: Eukaryota; Fungi; Basidiomycota; Agaricomycetes; Polyporales; Fomitopsidaceae. The record is from RNAcentral.
AUGUGGUAAGGGAAAAUAAUGAUACUACCUUACUUAUAGUGUUGUCUAAAGCUGGUGCCAGAAGACUCGGUAAAGCCAGAAACGCAAACGUUAAUCAUCAUAAACAGGCGUAAAGGGUUAGUAGGCUGCUUUUUAGUUAAUAAUUUAAUCUUAACCCCUUAAGUUUAAAAAUAAAAUAAUAAAAUUUUUUUAUUAGUUUAUUUAUAUUAAUCUUUAGAGCUAGAAUCAAAAAGAAGUUAAAAAGUAUAAUACUUAGAGUAGGGAUAAUAUCUGGAGAUACUAGGCGGAAUACUAAAGGUGUAAACAACUAACUAUAAAUGAUUGACGCUGAGAGACGAAGGUGAGGACAGGAAAUAGGAUUAGAUACCCCGGUACCCCUCUCUGUAAACGAUGAAUGGUAAUCAUUAGUAUAUUACUGGUGGUAAAGUUAACACGUUAACCAUUCCGCCUUGGGAGUACGACUGCAAAGUUGAAAACAAAAAAAUUAGUCGGUCUCGAAGCAAACGGAGUGAAG